GAGCCUGUAGCUCAGUUUGGAUUUAGAGCACACGCCUCCUAAGCGUGGGGUCAAGGGUUCGAAUCCCUUCAGGCUCG
This 77-nucleotide transfer RNA is filed under the name Candidatus Iainarchaeum sp. RNAcentral describes it as "tRNA-Arg". It matches the Rfam family "tRNA". Rfam says of the family: Transfer RNA (tRNA) molecules are approximately 80 nucleotides in length. Their secondary structure includes four short double-helical elements and three loops (D, anti-codon, and T loops). Lineage: Archaea; Nanobdellati; Candidatus Iainarchaeota; Candidatus Iainarchaeia; Candidatus Iainarchaeales; Candidatus Iainarchaeaceae. The record is from RNAcentral.